GAAAUGUUGUUUCUUAGGAAUCUCAUCUAUGAGCAUGCUGGCGUGUGCUAUUUAGGGAAAGAAUGUAUCUUAUUGAAAUCUUUUUCAUGAGGCAAAUAUGUGAAGCUACUUGUUACAUAAUUAGUCUAAAAUGCAUUUAAAAAAAGUAAUGCUAUUUAUGAGUAAAUAAGCAAAAAUGACAGGUUUAUAUCUUUUUGAUACUUCUCCGUUGUGAAUUUCCUAUAGAAGGCUAGCUUUUUAUCCCUCUGCGAGCGUUUACAAAACGAAUGGGAGAUCCACUUGAAGCAUUUCCUUCUCCCCUUAGGUUCCAGCGACUGGAUUUGUUACGGUUAAUAUAAGGCAAGUUUUCAUUAUAUUUUUCCCCUCCCAUAAAAAUUGUUUAAAUCUUAUUAUUUUAGAUUUCAUUCCUUAGAGCUGUUGAACUUUAGAAAUUAAAUCACCAAAUGCAUGCAAAUCUUUUUCCAACUUCCUUUCCAUCUUAAAGUAACUCUGGCCAGAACACUGUUCUUGCUUGGUGUUCUCUGGGUCUGUAUCUUUUGUUAUUUGUUGCAGCUAUUAUACCGUAUCCCUUUGUUGUGAGUUUUUCCGGGUGAGCUUGAAUCAAACAAGCGGCGUUUUAUUCUACACUGUCUUUGCAUCCUCCUCUUCUUGAUUCAUGGAAACCAUUUGCCUCCAUCUCAACCAAACUCAAUUUUCCCGAUAAAUUCUGGUUUCUGGAAUUCUAUGUUAAUUGGUUGAAAAAUCGACCGUACAAGUGAUGUGAAGCGGAAUUAAUUAUACUGCUUUAUGGUAAGUUAUAUUUUAUGAGUUUCUUGAAUGUGAGAAUUAUGUUAG
Molecule: long non-coding RNA, 834 nt
Organism: Olea europaea var. sylvestris
Lineage: Eukaryota; Viridiplantae; Streptophyta; Magnoliopsida; Lamiales; Oleaceae
Exons: 3
Source: RefSeq, a predicted model, not a curated record